CCUACGGGUGGCAGCAGUGGGGGAUAUUGCACAAUGGGCGGAACCCUGAUGCAGCGACGCCGCGUGGGUGAAGGAGCGUUUCGGCGCGUAAAGCUCUAUCGGCAGGGAAGAAGGUGACUGUAUCUGACGAAGAAGCCGCGGCUAACUACGUGCCAGCAGCCGCCGUAAUACGUAGGGGGCACGCGUUAUCCAGAUUUACUGGGUGGAAAGGGGGCGGAGACGGCAAUGCAAGCCAGGAGUGAAAGCCCGGGGCCUAACCACGGGACUGCUCUGGGUACGGCAUGGCUGGAGUACAGGAGGGGAGGGUGGAAUUCCUAGUGUAGCGGUGAAAUGCGUAGAUAUUGGGAGGAACACCGGUGGCGAAGGCGGGCUGCUGGACUGUGACUGACGUUGAGGCCCGAAGGCGUGGGGAGCAAACAGGAUUAGAUACCCGGGUAGUC
RNAcentral lists this ribosomal RNA (440 nucleotides) under uncultured bacterium. RNAcentral's name for it is "partial 16S ribosomal RNA". It matches the Rfam family "Bacterial small subunit ribosomal RNA", at positions 338 to 795 of the family's 1533-position model. The record is from RNAcentral.